Small nucleolar RNA from Raphanus sativus (radish), 109 nucleotides. RefSeq annotates it as small nucleolar RNA snoR97. Lineage: Eukaryota; Viridiplantae; Streptophyta; Magnoliopsida; Brassicales; Brassicaceae. The record is from RefSeq and is a predicted model, not a curated record. The transcript has a single exon.
CUUUAAUAAUGGUGCUUGUAGUCUGACAAAACUCAGAAAUUGCCAGUGUUCUCAUCAGCUUUGUCUCUUUCUGAUUCUGAGACUGGAGUUAAACAAGAACUCUACAUUG